UCUGGGCGUAAGGGCGCGUAGGCGGCUUGGUACAUCCAUGUGAAGGCCGGGCUCAACCUGGGAGGUAGCGUGGAUACUGCUCGGCUAGACUGUGGGAGAGGGUGGUGGAAUUCCCGGAGUAGCGGUGAAAUGCGUAGAUAUCGGGAGGAACACCGAUGGCGAAGGCAGCCCCCUGGACCAGAUGUGACGCUGAGGCGCGAAAGCGUGGGGAGCAAACCGGAUUAGAUACCCUGGUAGUCCACGCCCUAAACGAUGCGCGCUGGGUGUCGGGGGUUUCUGGGCGCCGAAGCCAACGUGUUACGCGCGCCGCCCGGCGAGUGCGGCCCCGAGGCUG
RNAcentral lists this ribosomal RNA (334 nucleotides) under uncultured bacterium. RNAcentral describes it as "bacterial SSU rRNA". It matches the Rfam family "Bacterial small subunit ribosomal RNA", at positions 553 to 896 of the family's 1533-position model. The record is from RNAcentral.